This 460-nucleotide ribosomal RNA is filed under the name uncultured bacterium. RNAcentral's name for it is "partial 16S ribosomal RNA". It matches the Rfam family "Bacterial small subunit ribosomal RNA", at positions 338 to 795 of the family's 1533-position model. The record is from RNAcentral.
CCUACGGGUGGCAGCAGUGAGGAAUAUUGGUCAAUGGACGAGAGUCUGAACCAGCCAAGUAGCGUGAAGGAUGACUGCCCUAUGGGUUGUAAACUUCUUUUAUAUGGGAAUAAAAUGUUCCACGUGUGGGAUUUUGUAUGUACCAUAUGAAUAAGGAUCGGCUAACUCCGGGCCAGCAGCCGCGGUAAUACGGAGGAUCCGAGCGUUAUCCGGAUUUAUUGGGUUUAAAGGGAGCGUAGGGGGAUUGUUAAGUCAGUUGUGAAAGUUUGCGGCUCAACCGUAAAAUUGCGGUUGAAACUGGCAGUCUUGAGUACAGUAGAGGUGGGCGGAAUUCGUGGUGUAGCGGUGAAAUGCUUAGAUAUCACGAAGAACUCCGAUUGCGAAGGCAGUUCACUGGACUGCAACUGACACUGAGGCUCGAAAGUGUGGGUAUCAAACAGGAUUAGAUACCCUUGUAGUC